This 433-nucleotide ribosomal RNA is filed under the name uncultured bacterium. RNAcentral's name for it is "partial 16S ribosomal RNA". It matches the Rfam family "Bacterial small subunit ribosomal RNA", at positions 29 to 507 of the family's 1533-position model. The record is from RNAcentral.
AACGAACGCUGGCGGCAUGCCUAACACAUGCAAGUCGAACGGGACCUCCGUGUGUGCUUGCUCACGGGGGCGUAGCGCGGCGGAAGGGGCCGGUAUGUACGGAAAAACUCCUCUUAGUGGGGGCUAAUACCGGGUAAUGUCUUCUAACCAAAGAUUUAUCCCCUUUGGAUGGGCAGGGGUUGUUUUAGCCUGGUGCGAUGGUAAAAGCCGACGAAGGCUACGCUCGCUAGCUGGUAUGAGAGGAUGAGCAGCCACACUGGGACUGAGACACGGCCCAGAAUCUUACGGGAGGCAGCAGUGGGGAAUAUUGGCAAAUGGGCGAAAGCCUGAUCCAGCAAUGCCGCGUGAGUGAUGAAGGCCUUAGGGUUGUAAAGCUCUUUUAUCCGGGAUGAUAAUGACAGUACCGGGAGAAUAAGCUCCGGCUAACUCCGUG